AUACGUAGGUGACAAGCGUUAUCCGGAUUUACUGGGUGUAAAGGGCGUGUAGGCGGAGAUGCAAGUCAGGAGUGAAAUCUAGGGGCUCAACCCCUAAACUGCUUUUGAAACUGUAUCCCUUGAGUAUCGGAGAGGCAGGCGGAAUUCCUAGUGUAGCGGUGAAAUGCGUAGAAAUUAGGAGGAACACCAGUGGCGAAGGCGGCCGGCGGGAGAAAAACUGCCGCUAAGAGUCAAAAGCGGGGGAGCAAACAGGAUUAGAUACCCUGGUAGUCCACGCUGUAAACGAUGAAUACUAGGUGUGGGGGGACUGACCCCCUCCGUGCCGCAGUUAACACAAUAAGUAUUCCACCUGGGGAGUACGAUCGCAAGAUUGAAACUCAAAGGAAUUGACGGG
This 394-nucleotide ribosomal RNA is filed under the name uncultured bacterium. RNAcentral describes it as "partial 16S ribosomal RNA". It matches the Rfam family "Bacterial small subunit ribosomal RNA", at positions 523 to 917 of the family's 1533-position model. The record is from RNAcentral.